RNAcentral lists this ribosomal RNA (421 nucleotides) under uncultured bacterium. Its description in RNAcentral is "bacterial SSU rRNA". It matches the Rfam family "Bacterial small subunit ribosomal RNA", at positions 29 to 445 of the family's 1533-position model. The record is from RNAcentral.
AACGAACGCUGGCGGCGUGCUUAACACAUGCAAGUCGAACGCGAAAUUUUUCUUCGGAAAGAGAGUAGAGUGGCGCACGGGUGAGUAACGCGUAAGUAAUCUACCCUGGUAUCUGGGAUAACCCACCGAAAGGUGUGCUAAUACCGGAUACGCUGAGUAAUCAGGAAAGGUGGCCUCUUCAUGAAAGCUACUGUACCAGGAGGAGCUUGCGUACCAUUAGCUAGUUGGUAGGGUAAUGGCCUACCAAGGCAACGAUGGUUAGCGGGUCUGAGAGGAUGAUCCGCCACACUGGAACUGGAACACGGACCAGACUCCUACGGGAGGCAGCAGUGAGGAAUAUUGCGCAAUGGGGGAAACCCUGACGCAGCGACGCCGCGUGGAUGAUGAAGGCCUUCGGGUCGUAAAAUCCUGUCAGGUGGAA